Molecule: ribosomal RNA, 484 nt
Filed under: uncultured bacterium
Lineage: Bacteria
Description: partial 16S ribosomal RNA
Rfam family: Bacterial small subunit ribosomal RNA
Source: RNAcentral
AUUGAACGCUGGCGGCAGGCCUAACACAUGCAAGUCGAGCGGAUGAAGGGAGCUUGCUCCUGGAUUCAGCGGCGGACGGGUGAGUAAUGCCUAGGAAUCUGCCUGGUAGUGGGGGAUAACGUCCGGAAACGGGCGCUAAUACCGCAUACGUCCUGCGGGAGAAAGUGGGGGAUCUUCGGACCUCACGCUAUCAGAUGAGCCUAGGUCGGAUUAGCUAGUUGGUGGGGUAAAGGCCUACCAAGGCGACGAUCCGUAACUGGUCUGAGAGGAUGAUCAGUCACACUGGAACUGAGACACGGUCCAGACUCCUACGGGAGGCAGCAGUGGUGAAUAUUGGACAAUGGGCGAAAGCCUGAUCCAGCCAUGCCGCGUGUGUGAAGAAGGUCUUCGGAUUGUAAAGCACUUUAAGUUGGGAGGAAGGGCAGUAAGUUAAUACCUUGCUGUUUUGACGUUACCAACAGAAUAAGCACCGGCUAACUUCGUG